RNAcentral lists this ribosomal RNA (537 nucleotides) under uncultured bacterium. Its description in RNAcentral is "bacterial SSU rRNA". It matches the Rfam family "Bacterial small subunit ribosomal RNA", at positions 28 to 558 of the family's 1533-position model. The record is from RNAcentral.
GAUGAACGCUAGCGGGAGGCCUAACACAUGCAAGUCGAGGGGUAACGCAAGUAGCUUGCUACUAGACGACGACCGGCGCACGGGUGAGUAACGCGUAUGUAAUCUGCCUUGUACAGAGGGAUAGCCCAGAGAAAUUUGGAUUAAUACCUCAUAGUAUUACCGAAUCGCAUGAUUUGGUAAUUAAAGCUCCGGCGGUACAAGAUGAACAUGCGUGACAUUAGCUAGUUGGUAAGGUAACGGCUUACCAAGGCUACGAUGUCUAGGGGUUCUGAGAGGAUGAUCCCCCACACUGGUACUGAGACACGGACCAGACUCCUACGGGAGGCAGCAGUGAGGAAUAUUGGUCAAUGGACGCAAGUCUGAACCAGCCAUCCCGCGUGAAGGAUGACUGCCCUAUGGGUUGUAAACUUCUUUUAUAUGCAAAUAAACCUACUUUCGUGAAAGUAGCUGAAGGUAGCAUAUGAAUAAACACCGGCUAACUCCGUGCCAGCAGCCGCGGUAAUACGGAGGGUGUAAGCGUUAUCCGGAUUUAUUGGG